AUAGGUACUGAUUACUGACGGAUAAUUGUGGAGAACCACAGGGGAAUCAAGUAUUAGAAAGACAAGCCGACCGUCUGGGCAACAUUU
This is a regulatory RNA element of Dorea sp. CAG:105, 87 nucleotides long. It matches the Rfam family "ZMP/ZTP riboswitch aptamer (pfl RNA motif)". From Rfam's summary of the family: Previously known as pfl RNA. ZMP is also known as AICAR. Lineage: Bacteria; Bacillati; Bacillota; Clostridia; Lachnospirales; Lachnospiraceae. The record is from Rfam.